Molecule: ribosomal RNA, 253 nt
Filed under: uncultured bacterium
Lineage: Bacteria
Description: partial 16S ribosomal RNA
Rfam family: Bacterial small subunit ribosomal RNA
Source: RNAcentral
UACGUAGGGUGCAAGCGUUAAUCGGAAUUACUGGGCGUAAAGCGUGCGCAGGCGGUGAUGUAAGACAGGUGUGAAAUCCCCGGGCUUAACCUGGGAACUGCAUUUGUGACUGCAUCGCUGGAGUGCGGCAGAGGGGGAUGGAAUUCCGCGUGUAGCAGUGAAAUGCGUAGAGAUGUGGAGGAACACCGAUGGCGAAGGCAGCCCCCUGGGCCAACACUGACGCUCAUGCACGAAAGCGUGGGGAGCAAACAGG